Long non-coding RNA from Octopus sinensis (East Asian common octopus), 248 nucleotides. RefSeq lists it as uncharacterized. The transcript is spliced from 2 exons. The record is from RefSeq and is a predicted model, not a curated record. Lineage: Eukaryota; Metazoa; Mollusca; Cephalopoda; Octopoda; Octopodidae.
AAAGAGAAAAAAAAAAAAAAAAGGACCCCCCCCAUCCGACCUCAUUCUCCUCCUCUCCUCCUCCUCCUACUUCACCUUUGCAAACAAAACAAGCGAGACGCCGCACGAAGAAUCAAACAAAAUUCUGUCUCUGAACGCCCUGCAGGCUGAAACUAGUUUUUGUUUGUGUAACACCAAAUUCAAGUAUAACAUUUAAUCAUUAACCAAAUAUCGUAAGAUCAGCAAAGUGUUAUUUGAUUUACCUCCAG